RNAcentral lists this unclassified non-coding RNA (329 nucleotides) under soil metagenome. RNAcentral describes it as "partial contains 5.8S ribosomal RNA, internal transcribed spacer 2, and large subunit ribosomal RNA". The stretch from base 1 to 120 matches the Rfam family "5.8S ribosomal RNA", at positions 35 to 154 of the family's 154-position model. The record is from RNAcentral.
GAUGAAGAACGUAGCGAAAUGCGAUAAGUAAUGUGAAUUGCAGAAUUCAGUGAAUCAUCGAAUCUUUGAACGCACAUUGCGCCCCCUGGUAUUCCGGGGGGCAUGCCUGUCCGAGCGUCAUUACAACCCUCAAGCUCAGCUUGGUGUUGGGCCCCGCCGCCCCGGCGGGCCCUAAAGUCAGUGGCGGUGCCGUCCGGCUCCGAGCGUAGUAAUUCUUCUCGCUCUGGAGGUCCGGUCGUGUGCUCGCCAGCAACCCCCAAUUUUUUUCAGGUUGACCUCGGAUCAGGUAGGGAUACCCGAUGAACUUAAGCAUCUCAAUAAGCGGAGGA